AUACUUACCUGGUGGGGGAAUAUCAUGAUCAAGAAGGUGGUUUCCCCCAGGGAGAGGUUCUUCCAUUGCACGCUUUGGUUGGGUUGACCCUGUGAUCUCCCCAAAUGUGGGAAACUCAAGUACAUAAUUUAUGGUGGUGGGGGACUGCAUUUGCACAGUUCCCUG
Small nuclear RNA from Protopterus annectens (West African lungfish), 165 nucleotides. RefSeq annotates it as U1 spliceosomal RNA. The transcript has a single exon. The record is from RefSeq and is a predicted model, not a curated record. Lineage: Eukaryota; Metazoa; Chordata; Ceratodontiformes; Protopteridae.